Molecule: ribosomal RNA, 253 nt
Filed under: uncultured bacterium
Lineage: Bacteria
Description: partial 16S ribosomal RNA
Rfam family: Bacterial small subunit ribosomal RNA
Source: RNAcentral
UACGGAGGGUGCGAGCGUUGUUCGGAAUCACUGGGCGUAAAGCGCGUGUAGGCGGUUCGUUAAGUCUGGUGUGAAAGCCCGGGGCUCACCCCCGGAAGAGCACUGGAAACUGGCGAACUCGAGUCCCGGAGAGGAGAGUGGAAUUCCUGGUGUAGCGGUGAAAUGCGUAGAUAUCAGGAGGAACACCGGUGGCGAAGGCGGCUCUCUGGACGGUGACUGACGCUGAGACGCGAAAGCGUGGGGAGCAAACAGG